UCAAUUGAUAAGGUGCUUGCCUAGCGUGC
Molecule: non-coding RNA, 29 nt
Filed under: Mus musculus (house mouse)
Lineage: Eukaryota; Metazoa; Chordata; Mammalia; Rodentia; Muridae
Source: RNAcentral